This is a long non-coding RNA of Homo sapiens (human), 1868 nucleotides long. The record is from Ensembl. NCBI's taxonomy places the organism in Eukaryota, Metazoa, Chordata, Mammalia, Primates, Hominidae.
AUGGGGGGGAGGAGCCAAGAUGGCCGAAUAGGAACAGCUCCUGUCUACAGCUCCCAGCUUGAGCCACGCAGAAGAUGGGUGAUUUCUGCAUUUCCAUCUGAGGUACCAGGCUACACCCUGCAAGGUCAUUAUCAUUAGCUGCACUUUACAGGAGAGGAAGCUGAGGCUCAGAGAAGCAAACUGCCCUCCUACUUAUGUUGAAGACUUUCCCAUCCUAUGAGCCCAGGUGGGAGAAGCUGAAAAUGGCAGAAGGUCACUUUUCCAGCUGCCCUGUGCCUGGUGAGCCUGUGACACAGACCCCGUUGCUCACAUAUCCACCCAGUUUGGUGCCAUAGGUGGUAGCACUUCAGGGCCAAGGAGUUUGAAGAAGUCCAAGGUAGAGCUUUCUGGAAAAUCCUCUGGAGAGGUUGAUCAGAAACCUUCUCCCACAUAAACAAAGGACCCAGGAAGAAGCUAAAAAUGGGCCAUGAGAUUGUCUUUAUUCAUCAAGCCUGAAGUUUUCUGACUCUAUCUUUCUUUUCCCGUGGCCACUGUUACCUCUCCAGAACAGACCCCAUCACCUGAAUUCUGCCUGAGCCUCGACAGAUAUGCUCAGCUGCUCUCCCAUGCUGGCUGUUGUUACCCCAACCCACUUAAAAUUCCUUGAGGUCUUAGAAGCUCUCUCCCACCAAGGUGCCGAAAGAAGUAUUUCACAGGUUCUCAGUGACAAUUGUUUAUUGAAAUUUACACUGAUGAGAAGUGGUCCCUAUUAAGGGAAUUCAAUCCAAGGAGAUUGGCUCUAUACUUUGAACCGCUGUGGCCAAAUAAAUAGAUGACUGCUUGCUGCAAUUAUAUUGCUGUGGUCUUUGUAUAAAUAGAUUACCAAGAAUAGGACUCCACACAUCUAUCACCUUGGAAAGCUGAUUUGUAUAAUCUGGACAGGUGGCAAGGAAACGUAACUGUCUGCUCAAGGGAGAGCCUGCCUGGGGCAGAGGAAGAGAGUCUGAGUAGCAUCCCAGUUAAGUGCUCAAGCCCUGAGGUCAGGCUGCCUGCAUUUGAAUCCUGAUUCUGCCACCAAUUUUCUAAGUGGCAUGGCAAUGUUCUUAAACUUCCCUUUGUGUCAUAGUAAGCAACCGAAAAAUGGUGCUGAGGAUAGAGAACUCCAAAAAUAGAAAUUAUUGCUAGAAGGUUCCCUUGCAGUGGAUAUCGGGGAUUCAAUCUGUUAGUAUCCAGAAACUAGUUUUUCUGUUACUUUUGUGAAACCACUCAAGAUCUCUGUUUAACAAGCCUCCCAAAGAUCUUUUUUCAAUAUGUUUAUAUGUCUUGGGGAUUACAGCACUUGUGGGUUUCAGCAGAACUCUUUUUGCAGAGGUCUGGUGGUGUAGGAAAAGGGCUGUAGACUAGGAUCUGGGAGACAGACAUGUCUAUGUUGAGACCUGCCUCUGGAGCACUGGCCACCCUCUCCAAGCUGCUGCAGUUCUCUGAGAUCCAACUGUCUCCCCUGUUACAUAAUCACCACAGUUAAAAUAUCAAAGUUUAUAUCAACCCCAAAAGUUACCUCCUGCUUCUUUGUAAUCUUUGCCUCCAUCCACCCUUAUUCCUAGGCAACCACUGAUCUGUUUUAUGUCAAUACAGAUCAUUUUGCAUUCUCUCUAAUUUCAUAUACAUUGCAUCAUACUUUAUGCACUCUUUUAUCUGGAUACUUUCACUUAACAUAAUUAUUUUCACAUGCAUUCAUGUUGUUGUGUGCAACAACAGUUUAUUAGUUUUCAUUGCUGAAUAGUAUUCCAUUGUGUGGAUAUACCACAUUUGUUUAGCCACUCAUCUGUGAAUAGACAUUCGGGUUGUUUCCAGUUACUUGGUUAUUUCAAAUAAAGCUGCUUUGAACA